This 253-nucleotide ribosomal RNA is filed under the name uncultured bacterium. RNAcentral describes it as "partial 16S ribosomal RNA". It matches the Rfam family "Bacterial small subunit ribosomal RNA", at positions 524 to 776 of the family's 1533-position model. The record is from RNAcentral.
UACGUAGGGGGCAAGCGUUGUCCGGAUUUAUUGGGCGUAAAGAGCGUGUAGGCGGUUUGGUAGGUCCGUUGUGAAAACUCGAGGCUCAACCUCGAGACGCCGAUGGAAACCAUCAGACUAGAGUCCGGAAGAGGAGAGUGGAAUUCCUGGUGUAGCGGUGAAAUGCGCAGAUAUCAGGAAGAACACCCGUGGCGAAGGCGGCUCUCUAGUACGGUACUGACGCUGAGACGCGAAAGCGUGGGGAGCGAACAGG